This 149-nucleotide ribosomal RNA is filed under the name Fusarium contaminatum. RNAcentral's name for it is "partial 28S large subunit ribosomal RNA". It matches the Rfam family "Eukaryotic large subunit ribosomal RNA", at positions 3252 to 3399 of the family's 3401-position model. The record is from RNAcentral. Lineage: Eukaryota; Fungi; Ascomycota; Sordariomycetes; Hypocreales; Nectriaceae. RNAcentral also lists the same sequence under 3 other names.
CGCGUCGUGGUAUUUCGCGUAUUGUAAUUUCAACGCGAGCGGGGUCAAAUCCUUUGCAGACGACUUAGCUGUGCGAAACGGUCCUGUAAGCAGUAGAGUAGCCUUGUUGUUACGAUCUGCUGAGGGUAAGCCGUCCUUCGCCUCGAUUU